GACGAACGCUGGCGGCGUGCUUAACACAUGCAAGUCGAACGGAAAGGCCCUGCUUUUGUGGGGUGCUCGAGUGGCUAACGGGUGAGUAACACGUGAGUAACCUGCCCUUGACUUUGGGAUAACUUCAGGAAACUGGGGCUAAUACCGGAUAGGAGCUCCUGCUGCAUGGUGGGGGUUGGAAAGUUUCGGCGGUUGGGGAUGGACUCGCGGCUUAUCAGCUUGUUGGUGGGGUAGUGGCUUACCAAGGCUUUUACGGGUAGCCGGCCUGAGAGGGUGACCGGCCACAUUGGGACUGAGAUACGGCCCAGACUCCUACGGGAGGCAGCAGUGGGGAAUAUUGCACAAUGGGCGGAAGCCUGAUGCAGCAACGCCGCGUGCGGGAUGACGGCCUUCGGGUUGUAAACCGCUUUCGCCUGUGACGAAGCGUGAGUGACGGUAAUGGGUAAAGAAGCACCGGCUAACUACGUG
RNAcentral lists this ribosomal RNA (468 nucleotides) under uncultured bacterium. RNAcentral describes it as "partial 16S ribosomal RNA". It matches the Rfam family "Bacterial small subunit ribosomal RNA", at positions 28 to 507 of the family's 1533-position model. The record is from RNAcentral.